This 560-nucleotide ribosomal RNA is filed under the name uncultured Glomus. Its description in RNAcentral is "SSU rRNA". It matches the Rfam family "Eukaryotic small subunit ribosomal RNA", at positions 546 to 1106 of the family's 1831-position model. The record is from RNAcentral. Lineage: Eukaryota; Fungi; Glomeromycota; Glomeromycetes; Glomerales; Glomeraceae.
AAUUGGAGGGCAAGUCUGGUGCCAGCAGCCGCGGUAAUUCCAGCUCCAAUAGCGUAUAUUAAAGUCGUUGCAGUUAAAAAGCUCGUAGUUGAAUUUCGGAAUCAUCAGGUAGGUCGUGCCACUGGUAUGUACUUGCCUUGAUGGUUCCUCCCUCUUGAAGAACCGUAAUGUCAUUAAUUUGGUGUUGCGGGGAAUCAGGACUGUUACUUUGAAAAAAUUAGAGUGUUUAAAGCAGGCAAACGCUUGAAUACAUUAGCAUGGAAUAAUGAAAUAGGACGUUUGAUCCUAUUUUGUUGGUUUCUAGGAUCGACGUAAUGAUUAAUAGGGACAGUUGGGGGCAUUAGUAUUCAAUUGUCAGAGGUGAAAUUCUUGGAUUUAUUGAAGACUAACUACUGCGAAAGCAUUUGCCAAGGAUGUUUUCAUUAAUCAAGAACGAAAGUUAGGGGAUCGAAGACGAUCAGAUACCGUCGUAGUCUUAACCAUAAACUAUGCCGAGCUAGGGAUCGGAUGAUGUUAAUUUUUUAAUGACUCAUUCGGCACCUUACGGGAAACCAAAGUGU